UGCUUGCCCACAAAGGGUUUCCACCGCACUUCCCAUGCCGAGCAUAAGGCCAUAGGCAAAAACUUGGAUGCCAGUGUUCCCAAGAGAAACAGCAGCAAGCUGAAGAUUUCCUAGGUGACCACAGAAGAUCUGGGUAGACAUGGAAACCACAUUAUUCAGCAAGUAAACAAUCACUGCAGGAGCUGCAAGUUGGAAGAGCAAUUUAAGCUCAACCCAGGAGGCUGAUCUGAGCCUUUUAAAGGUUGGUGUGCGAGUAUCGUUUAAAAUAUCUUCUAGCUCAGAGGUGACUGCUUCAUGGCCAGACCUGAAGCUCUGAAGAAGAGGCUGAGAGUGAGAGAGCAUCAUCUUGCUACACUUUUCUUAUUCUUCUUUUCUCUCCUUCGAUGUCCAUACCCACAUGGCAAGCACAUUUAUAAACGAGGAUUUGUAUUUGCUUUUGA
Molecule: unclassified non-coding RNA, 440 nt
Filed under: Hevea brasiliensis (rubber tree)
Lineage: Eukaryota; Viridiplantae; Streptophyta; Magnoliopsida; Malpighiales; Euphorbiaceae
Source: RNAcentral